This 493-nucleotide ribosomal RNA is filed under the name uncultured bacterium. RNAcentral describes it as "bacterial SSU rRNA". It matches the Rfam family "Bacterial small subunit ribosomal RNA", at positions 903 to 1397 of the family's 1533-position model. The record is from RNAcentral.
AAAGGAAUAGACGGGGGCCCGCACAAGCGGAGGAGCAUGUGGUUUAAUUCGAUGAUACGCGAGGAACCUUACCAGGGCUUGAAAGUUAGUGAAUGAUGUGGAAACAUGUCAGCCAGCAAUGGCACGAAACUAGGUGCUGCAUGGCUGUCGUCAGCUCGUGCCGUGAGGUGUUAGGUUAAGUCCUGCAACGAGCGCAACCCCUAUCAUUAGUUGCCAGCGAGUCAUGUCGGGGACUCUAAUGAGACUGCCUGCGCAAGCAGUGAGGAAGGUGGGGAUGACGUCAAGUCAUCACGGCCCUUACGUCCUGGGCUACACACGUGCUACAAUGGCUAAUACAAUGGGUUGCUAUGUGGUAACACAAUGCUAAUCUCUAAAAUUGGUCUCAGUUCGGAUUGAGGUCUGCAACUCGACCUCAUGAAGCUGGAUUCGCUAGUAAUCGUAGAUCAGCAAUGCUACGGUGAAUACGUUCCCGGGCCUUGUACACACCGCCCGU